CGCUCUGUCGAUGAGGGCGAGAAGUCGUAACAGGUUACUACUCGUAGGUGAACCUGCGGAAGGAUCAUU
Molecule: ribosomal RNA, 69 nt
Filed under: Nageia nagi
Lineage: Eukaryota; Viridiplantae; Streptophyta; Pinopsida; Araucariales; Podocarpaceae
Description: partial 18S ribosomal RNA
Source: RNAcentral